AACGAACGCUGGCGGCAGGCCUAACACAUGCAAGUCGAGCGCCCCGCAAGGGGAGCGGCGGACGGGUGAGUAACGCGUGGGAACGUACCCUUUGCUACGGAAUAGCCUCGGGAAACUGGGAGUAAUACCGUAUGUGCCCGUCGGGGGAAAGAUUUAUCGGCAAAGGAUCGGCCCGCGUUGGAUUAGGUAGUUGGUGGGGUAAUGGACUACCAAGCCGACGAUCCAUAGCUGGUUUGAGAGGAUGAUCAGCCACACUGGGACUGAGCACACGGCCCAGACUCCUACGGGAGGCAGCAGUGGGGAAUCUUAGACAAUGGGCGCAAGCCUGAUCUAGCCAUGCCGCGUGAGCGAUGAAGGCCUUAGGGUUGUAAAGCUCUUUCAGUGGGGAAGAUAAUGACUGUACCCACAGAAGAAGCCCCGGCUAACUCCGUGCCAGCCGCCGCGGUAA
Molecule: ribosomal RNA, 448 nt
Filed under: uncultured bacterium
Lineage: Bacteria
Description: partial 16S ribosomal RNA
Rfam family: Bacterial small subunit ribosomal RNA
Source: RNAcentral